CUGAUUUUGGAAGCAGUAGCACCACGUUGUCCUCCUAUGGUGAGAGGCUCCUGUGUUUUGGGUUUUCCUUGAUGCUCUCUGGAUGUUUUAGUGGGUCCCCUGUGAGUGUGAGGGGUCCUAGUGCCACCCAGCAGCACUGUGAUGUUAGUCUUCACCCAGGAUCUGCUCUGGCUUUUGCAGCCUUGUGCUUGCACUUCAGCUGCCUUUGUUUCUUUGAACCUGGGAGGCAACGCCUGUGAUGUUCAGUUGAGUUUGGCUGGCUCAGAAAGCAUCUUUGGACUCAAAAUGCCUCUGGGACUGUGCAAGGUCUGUGCUUCUGAUCACAGACCAGGUCAUCAAGGUAGCAAGUGUACUCUGGAUAUGGGGGAGCAAAGUUGCAUUGCUCUGGGAGAGAAGAGAGGACGUUCUCACCUAGUUUAUAGAGGAUGGAGACUUCGACAAGGUGCUUCCUGUUGAGCUUCACUUGUGGGCCAUGCUGAGCCUUAUGUGGCACGGCACCUCACCUCAACCUGCUCAUCUACGUGACCACUGUGGGUUCUUCUGAAUGAGGGAGACUAGACAUUUGCUGGGAGGUGUUCUCCAUGGGGCAGGUCAAAGAAACCCCCCAUAUUUUAUCACCCCUAAAGAAGGAGGUGAACCGAUCUGGACCAUUUUCAAGACUUUGUGGCUGAGUCCCAGCUCCAGUUGGGAUGAAUUACUUUCUCUUGGUGCUAUGCUUAGCUGGGGGAAUUACCCCAAGAAAUAAGUUUUCUUUAGAUAUUAUUUUUUAUAUAACUUCAUAAAACAUUGCAUUUAAAUCUGAGUUCAUUCCAUGAGAUUUAUGCUUAUUGUAGCUUAUUAUUAACACAUCCAAAAUAUGGGUAGGUAGGGUGUUUCAAGUGCUCUGCUCAAAUUGGAUCAUGCUCAGCUGGAUGCCUAACCGAAACUGCAGAAGCUGAAGUAAUAUUUUGGGUGUUGAUCUCCCUUGAGGUGAAUCAUAAAGUUGAAGAGAUAAGCUGGCAAUUAGAUGGUCAAACCAGUA
Pezoporus occidentalis (night parrot) is the source of this 1021-nucleotide long non-coding RNA. RefSeq lists it as uncharacterized. The record is from RefSeq and is a predicted model, not a curated record. The transcript is spliced from 2 exons. NCBI's taxonomy places the organism in Eukaryota, Metazoa, Chordata, Aves, Psittaciformes, Psittacidae.